Pseudopipra pipra is the source of this 3550-nucleotide long non-coding RNA. RefSeq lists it as uncharacterized. NCBI's taxonomy places the organism in Eukaryota, Metazoa, Chordata, Aves, Passeriformes, Pipridae. The transcript is spliced from 7 exons. The record is from RefSeq and is a predicted model, not a curated record.
AGGUUUCCUUGCUCUCUCAGCAGGGUAUCGAGUGCCACCGUGUCCCUGAGGUCACUCUUUCUCCUGCUGGGAGAGCACGAGGUGGAUGGAGAGGAUCCCCAGGCAUCUGCAGGCACAAGGGACUCGUACAGAUGUGAUUUUCCUACAGCCCUCAUAAGACAGACUUUGAGGGUACCAUGGGUCAUGUGCCAGCUCUCCUGCUGGAGUUUUUGUCUGCAAUAUUUGGACACAAAGAGUAGAACUAAAGUCAGGUCUGUUCUGUAGUGUGUUACACUUGCGCAAAGCUCUUUCCCUCUAUUUGUUUUCUGUUCUGGAAAGCACAGUCUGGGGUACCUGGGCACUUCCUAUUAAAUGAAAAAAAUAUUGUACUGAAAGGUGAAAGGAGCUGUCUGUUGGAGGUCAGAUGUCCAUGAUAAAAGCUUUCUGCUUUUUCAGUCAGUAAGCUUCUAAAAUAUCUUAGUGUGUAGGAAUGCCUGGCUUCUAAAACUUGCCAAUUGGGAUUUAGAGGCUUCUUGGAAGAGCAGAUUUCAGGCAGGAAAAUUGGCCCCCCAGGAGGGACUCUGUGCCUGCUCUCCCGUGGCUCCAAGGGAUCUCUGGGCCUUCACGCCGGCACCGAGAUUUUCUCGGGAAGGGCCUCAGAUCCCCAGACCAGUCUGGGACACAGGCAAGAUCCCCCUGCAGUUUAGGACCAAAUUGGGCCCCCUGGAGGGACAGUGCUGUUGGUGCCCCCCGGGUUGGGGCACCCCGAGGACUCCAGCGCGCACCGAAAGGAUUAUUCGGGGAGAUCCUUGGGGUGCCCGGCCCUGGGGAGCUCAAAGCAAGGUCCCUGCAAUGGAUUCAGGCAUUGCUGAGAGUAUCCCAGGGGUACCUGUCCCUGCUAGACAUGGAGCUCUCUAAUGGGCUGUAACUGGGUGAUAAAAGUGGUGCUCCAAGUGCCAAAGAAGUGUGGGGUUGGGAUUAAGAAAUGAGCAGUGAGGGUCCAAUUGGCUGUUUCCUCUUGAAUGUGACGGUGAGAGCUGCAGGAGUGCCAGGUGUGUGUUCCAGUCCCCAGCAUUUGGUUUGCACAUGUCCUGGUCAGACACAGGUCCAACUUCCUCAGUCCUUAACACAGUGGAAGGAGAAUGAAGGACUGGCACUGUUAAAGUGAUUGGUGUGUCAGGGGUUAAACUGGGAAAACAUUGGGUAAUUCCUCAGUUUCUGUAUUUGCCAAACUCACCCAAACCUGUGCUAGGAAGAGAUUGAUUGGAAAAGUUGAGGCAGAAAUGAAAUUGAAAAUGGGGAUAUUGACACUGUAAUUGCUGAAACUAAAUGUGUCAAAGCAGCAGCUCUUGUUGUGCAGGGAAUAACUCCUGUCAGCAGCAAGGUCCCCACUGAAGUGGCAGCUGCAGUUGUUCCUGCGGUGUGGGCCAGUGGAACUCCAGGAGAGUGGAAGAGGGCAGAACCUGUGGGUAUUACUCCUAAUGUGGGAUCUCUCCUGGAUGUGAAUGCAAGAACCUGCCAAGAAAACCAAUGGCCAAGAUGAUUGAUUAGUGCAGGACCUGAGAGAACCCCCUUAAAUGACAACCUUGAGCAGUUUCCAGUAUUAGAUUGAAAAGAUGCCCUUUGCUGCAUCUCCUUGAGCAAGGAAAGCCAAGAAACCUUUGCUUUUGCAGGAGAAAAUCUGGACAGCAGGAAGGAAGAAAAGAAACCACGUGACUCCUCCUUGAGCUCCAGACAGCCCAUGAACUGCCUUCCUGGGAAUGGUGGGACAGGUGGACUCUGGAUUGCUCCCUCUGGAUGUGUGGAACUGCAGGAACUCCUGGUGCCGCCUGGGCCGAUGGAUUGGACGCCCCAGCCCCUCCGUUCCUGCCCAGCCACUGGGGCCGUGUCGAGUGGUGGCACUGCCAGCCCUGCAGUGGGAUGUAGCCUGGAAACUCCCCAGAGCUGAGCCAAGGGAUUUAAAGGGAGCAACCAAGGGAGGUGAAGAAAGAAGGAAGAAGGAGCUGAGGCAACAGCCAAGCAGCACCAAGUUCCUCUACAACCAGGUGAGUUGUCUUGAAGUUGAUAAGGUGGUCACUUCGAACUUUGGGGGCUCCAGGCCCAGGUGACCACCAGAGACCCCCAAUGAAGCCCCUCAGAGACCUUAAAAGGGGACACUGAGCUGGUCUACCUGUGACAAGAAGAGCAAGUGGGCUGUGAAGGUUUGGAGCAGUCUGGAAGGUUCCUUGUGCCCAAAGGAUCCUGGAAGUGCAGCCCUGGAAGAGUCAGGAAUAAUGACAAGUGCCCCAGUUCUCAUGAAGCUCAACUUCAUAAAACAUUUAUGGAGCUAAAAUUCCACAGCAUUGAACUAUUGGGUCCCAAAUAAUAUUGGAGGGAGAGGCAGAAAAUCCCAAUGCUGCUGGGGCUGAACUGUCUGCAGUGAGGGGGCAGGACUUGGCCCUGAUGCCUGAGUGCUCUCCAGCCCCCCAGGAUGGAUCCCAACUGUCAGCCCCUGGCUCCAUCCCUUGAGAAGAUGGUGUUCCUGCAAGCCCAGCUGCUGUGCUGGUGGUCCUGGGGGCAUCUCCUGCCCUGGCCUGCUGUGACUGUGUUUGUGUUGCAGCUCAAUAAAGUCCCUUUCAGUGCUGAUUGUGUCAUUUUGGUGUCAGUUCCUCUUCCCCUGCCCCUGUGGCUGCAUCACUGCCUUGUGCCUAAAUGAACUCUUCCCCAGCAGCAGUUCCCUGCUGCUCUCAGAGAGGGUGGAGCUGAGGCCCCUGAGCCAAGGGAAAAAGGAUCCAUCCAAGGCAGGCCAGUGCUCACCCCCGCCUUCCUCCAGCCUCCCGUGUUUCCAGUUCCCCUCCCUGCUGGACACUCAGCCUGUUCCCAAACAACCCCUGUUCCUGUUCUCUCUCCAUGUCUCCCCUCACAACUCCCCUCCUCUAAUCUCCAGCUGCCCAGGCCCCUGUUUUUGAGGGGCAUUCCUGGGCUGCUGCCCCCCCAUUCCUUAGAACUGAAGUGCCAAGAGCCCCAAGUGCAGAGAGGUCUGCAGGGAAUCAGUGCCAAGAGCUGCCUGUGCCUGCCUGUGUUCCUGCAGUUCUCCUUCCUGUUCUCCCUGGGCUGGAGAGCCCUGCCUGCCCUGGGUUUAUUGGAGCAGAGGGAUGGGAUUACAUUGGUGCAGAAGGGAUGUUCACAGACACUUGUUUUCUGACAGGCAGUGCCAUUUUCCUUCUGCCUUUCCCAAGUUUUCCCAAGUGCUGCCCAGCACGGGGAUCCGUGUGCUGGGACAGUGAUUGGCAGGAGGAAGGGGAGCCUUGGCCUCACCUGCCCAGCUCAGGCCAGGCCAAAGCCCUGCUCCAGCCCAGCUCUGCCAAGUGCCCUGGGCUGGGAGCAGCCAAAGGCAAGAGGCUGCAGCCCCGCCGGCCGGGCUGGGGGCUCCUGGUGCUGCCCGUGGGGUGGGGUGUGCCCAGGACGCUGCUAAUGCCCAGGGAUCUGCUCUGGGUCCAGGCUGUCCGUGCUGGAGGGCCCUGGUGGCUGCAGUCCCUGAGCCCGCAGAGACAGAGAGAGCCCCGGCCCGAGUGGCCUUUGGCCCCUUGUC